AAAUUGUUUUGUGACGAACACAUAGUACAAAAGUCUAUUUGACGACGAGGACGAGAUAAUUACAGCAGUGCAUGUAGGAGAGUGAGCCGAGCCGGACCGGUAUCUGCAGACCGACCAGCUUGCGAGCUGGUCUGUGUUCCUCGUCAACACACCGAGUUUGCUGUGCGUUGACAUGCAGCAGGCUCUGACUCUCCCAGUGCGUUGGGGGCUGUCAACUGAUAUUAUUUGACAAAAUGGUGGAGUGAUACCUGCAAUUGUUGCGCCCUGAGGGGCCUUUUAUUUUGUGGGAAAGGAUUGGGGAGGGACAGUGGAGAAGGAAGCCUGGCUUGGGUUUCUUGAAACCAUGUCGAGCGAAAACGACGUGAAUUUACUGGUGGCGACAGCGGAGCACAUGCAGAAGGCAAGCGAGGGAUUCCCUCCUUCUCCUCCUCAGCGUUGUUAGAGCACUUUAGGGAUUUUGUAGUAUCUGGCGAAGCA
This 477-nucleotide long non-coding RNA is filed under the name Coccomyxa subellipsoidea. RNAcentral describes it as "long non-coding RNA (CSUB_LNC000458)". Lineage: Eukaryota; Viridiplantae; Chlorophyta; Trebouxiophyceae; Coccomyxaceae. The record is from RNAcentral.